This 773-nucleotide long non-coding RNA is filed under the name Lathyrus oleraceus (garden pea). RNAcentral's name for it is "Pisum sativum (pea) long non-coding RNA (PSAT_LNC029407)". The record is from RNAcentral. Lineage: Eukaryota; Viridiplantae; Streptophyta; Magnoliopsida; Fabales; Fabaceae.
CUGUAGAAAACAAACACAUGCUAGCAAGAAAUAGAAAAAUAUCAUGAGCAAUGCACAAAAGAUAGUCCUACUACAUCACAAUCACGUGUCAUGGCUGAUGGAUCUUAGAGGAUUCAGUAGUUGGUUUUUUCUUACAUGGUGCAUUCCAUUAGCCUUUCACUUGAUGUUGUAGUAGUUGGCUUCUCAUUGAUGUUGCAUUCCACCUGUAGUAUCAUACAACAGUCCAGUUGCAAACAUCAACUAACCAAGCAACAUUCACAUUGCAUUUCCAACACCAGAACAUUCUGCAUCAUCAUCCAACUGUCAGCAAACAAUUAACCUACAACACACUUGUUGCAAUGCAAUGAAACAUAAACCAAAUGCAAUACAAAAGCCUAUAAUUUAUCACCAUACAUUGAAACAUGGACCAACAUGAGGCUAAAUGCUUACCUGCUCAGUGGCAAUAAUUCAGGAACAAGCUUGCAACCUUGCAACAAUCCUACAACUCACCAAGCCAUGAGCCAAGUACUAGACUUGCAGCAUAUCUAAGAUCCAAGAACAUGCAGCAGUACUGAACACGCCAAGAGGCUCAAUAUUGGAACCUAAUAACCUGCAGUGGAUAUGAGAAUCAUGAUGUCACUGCAAUGCUUUGCUCAAACUGGCUUUAACGUAUUGCUAGUAAUUAAGUCAGAACCUGCUGAACACUUUGCAAAAUCAGAACACCAUGACCUUUCAUCCAUUACUUGUUACCCUGCAAAUUGGUACAGCAAGAUGCAAUUGGCAAUGCACCAAUC